Molecule: small RNA, 142 nt
Filed under: Salmonella enterica
Lineage: Bacteria; Pseudomonadati; Pseudomonadota; Gammaproteobacteria; Enterobacterales; Enterobacteriaceae
Description: RtT sRNA
Rfam family: RtT RNA
About the family: This family represents a bacterial cis-regulatory element known as RtT RNA. The exact function of RtT is unknown although it is thought that it may be involved in changing the cellular response in relation to amino acid starvation.
Source: RNAcentral
GAGCGAUCAUAAGGGAGCUGACUGCAAAUCUGCCGUCAUCGACUUCAAGGUUCGACUCGAGCAAUAGUGAGAGAACGUUGCCGCAGGCAACGGCGCGAAGGGUGAGGAGCUUUAGCUCCGAAUAAUCCUUCCCGCUAUAGAA